This 424-nucleotide long non-coding RNA is filed under the name Rattus norvegicus (Norway rat). RNAcentral's name for it is "long non-coding RNA NONRATT004393". Lineage: Eukaryota; Metazoa; Chordata; Mammalia; Rodentia; Muridae. The record is from RNAcentral.
GAGGCUGCUCUUGAUGUGACCUCAAACAGCUCUCUGCCUCAUUGGACUCCAGUUGCAAUUCUACCGAAGAGGCGAGAAGGAAGAAAAGAAAAUAGGCCUUUUGCUUCUCCAGCAAGACUUCGCUGUGGGUUUCUCAGAAUGACUGGCUGUUUGUUCAACUGUUUAGAUAAAAUUGGAAGCAGCAAGCACUGGGAGAAUAACUUAUAUAAGCAUGGGUUUAUUAGCAACCCGUGGCUCAAUUUUGGCUGUGAGGACAGAGCUGGGAGGUCUAACAGAAGCCAGGAAGCCUGUCUGCUGUCAAUCAAGGUGGAAACAGCUGUCUUUCGCCAUGUGGUACGGAAGAGCAAGCAGCCACCUUUACUCUUGUCCGUAGACAAGGAUACAAGGCAUCUCUGGGCUUCCACUAUGGUACCAGGGGCCUCUG